RNAcentral lists this ribosomal RNA (376 nucleotides) under uncultured organism. Its description in RNAcentral is "bacterial SSU rRNA". It matches the Rfam family "Bacterial small subunit ribosomal RNA", at positions 526 to 897 of the family's 1533-position model. The record is from RNAcentral.
CGUAGGAGGCGAGCGUUAUCCGGAUUCACUGGGCGUAAAGCGCGUGCAGGCGGUUUGGUAAGUUGGGCGUGAAAGCUCCCGGCUCAACUGGGAGAGGUCGUUCAAAUACUACCAGACUUGAGAGUAGAAGAGGAAGAUGGAAUUCCCGGUGUAGUGGUGAAAUGCGUAGAUAUCGGGAGGAACACCAGUGGCGAAGGCGAUCUUCUGGUCUAUUUCUGACGCUCAGACGCGACAGCUAGGGGUAGUAAACGGGAUUAGAGACCCCGGUAAUCCCUAGCCGUAAACGAUGUGAACUUGGCGUCGGUGGCUUAAACACCAUCGGUGCCGAAGCAAACGCGAUAAGUUCACCGCCUGGGGACUACGGCCGCAAGGGUUA